CAAAAUAAAGCUUAGAAGUUAAGUGUUCCAUUUACACUGGGAAGGAGUUCGUGCAAUUCGAAUUAUUUUGA
This 71-nucleotide transfer RNA is filed under the name Anelytra obtusa. Its description in RNAcentral is "tRNA-Val". It matches the Rfam family "tRNA". Rfam says of the family: Transfer RNA (tRNA) molecules are approximately 80 nucleotides in length. Their secondary structure includes four short double-helical elements and three loops (D, anti-codon, and T loops). The record is from RNAcentral. Lineage: Eukaryota; Metazoa; Arthropoda; Insecta; Orthoptera; Tettigoniidae.